AUGGGUGCUUGUGAGGCUCUCUCCUGCCUAGUCCUCCUCUCACUCCUCGUCUCGUCAAGUGCUUCCACCCUAGACGACGCGUGCAAGUCCUUGGGCGCAAGCAACGAGGACAUCAGCUACGACUCCUGCAUCAGGUUCUUCCGGGCCUUCAGUGCCAGCGCCACCGCGGACAAGCGCGGCCUCGUCGUCAUCGCCGCGAAGAUCGUCCGAGCAGAGGCGGCGAACACCCGCAACCGCAUCAACGCUCUCAAGGCCUCGGAGACGGACAGGAAGAUCGCCAGGCGCCUCUCCCACUGUCACGCGCUGUACACGAGCACACUGCACCUGCUCAACGCGGUGGCGAAGGCCAUCAAGUCGGGUCAUUUGCAGGACGCGGAGGCGAACCUCAACGCCGCGAUGGAGAACCCCGACGCGUGCGAGGAAGGGUUCCGGGAGCUGGGCGUCAGGCCGCCGGUGGCCGCCGAGGACUACGAGUUCACGCAGGGGUGCUCCAUCGCUCUCGCUAUAGCGAGCACGUUGUAG
Molecule: ribosomal RNA, 522 nt
Filed under: Triticum aestivum (bread wheat)
Lineage: Eukaryota; Viridiplantae; Streptophyta; Magnoliopsida; Poales; Poaceae
Description: partial small subunit ribosomal RNA
Source: RNAcentral